AACCUUAACUUACACCCUAAUCGCCAGGAAACUACGAGCAAAGCUUAAAACCCAAAGGACUUGACGGUGCCCCACAUCCCCCUAGAGGAGCCUGUCCUGUAAUUGAUAAUCCUCGCUUAACCUCACCAUUUUUUGCCUUUCAGUCUGUAUACCUCCGUCGUCAGCUUACCCCAUGAGGGUAUUCUAGUAAGCUUAAUGUUUAUCCGCCAAUACGUCAGGUCAAGGUGCAACUAAUAAAAUGGAAAGAGAUGGGCUACACUUUCUAAUCUAGAAGACACGGAAGACUACCAAUGAAAAAUAGUCUGAAGGCGGAUUUAGUAGUAAGAAGAAAACAGAGUGUUCUUCUUAACUCGGCACUGGGGUGCGUACACACCGCCCGUCGCCCUCUUCAAAAAUAAUAGAUCAGUAUUUAACCAAUUUUAACAUAUAAGAAGAGGUAAGUCGUAACAUGGUAAGCGUACCGGAAGGUGUGCUUGG
RNAcentral lists this ribosomal RNA (477 nucleotides) under Cryptobatrachus fuhrmanni (Fuhrmann's backpack frog). RNAcentral's name for it is "partial 12S ribosomal RNA". It matches the Rfam family "Bacterial small subunit ribosomal RNA", at positions 875 to 1520 of the family's 1533-position model. Lineage: Eukaryota; Metazoa; Chordata; Amphibia; Anura; Hemiphractidae. The record is from RNAcentral.